AGGUAGAAUGGCCGAGUACUAGGCGGCAGGUUGUAAACCUGCUUACACAGGUAGCCCUGUUUCUUC
Molecule: transfer RNA, 66 nt
Filed under: Hoplodactylus sp. Southern North Island
Lineage: Eukaryota; Metazoa; Chordata; Lepidosauria; Squamata; Diplodactylidae
Description: tRNA-Tyr
Source: RNAcentral